This 443-nucleotide ribosomal RNA is filed under the name uncultured bacterium. RNAcentral describes it as "bacterial SSU rRNA". It matches the Rfam family "Bacterial small subunit ribosomal RNA", at positions 28 to 507 of the family's 1533-position model. The record is from RNAcentral.
GAUGAACGCUGGCGGCGUGCCUAAUACAUGCAAGUCGAGCGAACCACUUCGGUGGUAAGCGGCGAACGGGUGAGUAACACGUAGGUGAUCUGCCCAUCAGACGGGGACAACGAUUGGAAACGAUCGCUAAUACCGGAUAGGACGAAAGUUUAAAGGUGCUCCUGGCACCGCUGAUGGAUGAGCCUGCGGCGCAUUAGCUAGUUGGUAGGGUAAAGGCCUACCAAGGCGACGAUGCGUAGCCGACCUGAGAGGGUGAACGGCCACACUGGGACUGAGAUACGGCCCAGACUCCUACGGGAGGCAGCAGUGGGGAAUAUUGGGCAAUGGACGCAAGUCUGACCCAGCAACGCCGCGUGAAGGAGGAAGGCUUUCGGGUUGUAAACUUCUUUAAGUGGGAAGAGUAGAAGACGGUACCACUUGAAUAAGCCACGGCUAACUACGUG